RNAcentral lists this ribosomal RNA (345 nucleotides) under uncultured bacterium. RNAcentral's name for it is "partial 16S ribosomal RNA". The record is from RNAcentral.
AACACUUAAUGCGUUAACUGCGGCACAGCAGGGGUCAAUACCCGCUACACCUAGUGUUCACCGUUUACUGCGUGGACUACCAGGGUAUCUAAUCCUGUUUGCUCCCCACGCCUUCGCGCCUCAGCGUUCAGUAUUUGGUCCAGGAAGUCGCCUUCGCCACCGGUGUUCCUCCUGAUAUCUACGAAUUUCACCUCUACACCAGGAAUUCCACUUCCCUCUCCCAUACUCAAGCCACUUAGUUUCAAAUGCACUUCCGGGGUUAAGCCCGGGGCUUUCACAUCUGACUUAAGAAGCCGCCUACGCGCCCUUUACGCCCAAUAAUUCCGAAUAACGCUUGCACCCUCC